This 504-nucleotide ribosomal RNA is filed under the name uncultured bacterium. RNAcentral describes it as "partial 16S ribosomal RNA". It matches the Rfam family "Bacterial small subunit ribosomal RNA", at positions 29 to 523 of the family's 1533-position model. The record is from RNAcentral.
AUUGAACGCUGGCGGCAGGCCUAACACAUGCAAGUCGAGCGGUAACACAGGGAGCUUGCUCCUGGGUGACGAGCGGCGGACGGGUGAGUAAUGUCUGGGAAACUGCCUGAUGGAGGGGGAUAACUACUGGAAACGGUAGCUAAUACCGCAUAACGUCGCAAGACCAAAGAGGGGGACCUUCGGGCCUCUUGCCAUCAGAUGUGCCCAGAUGGGAUUAGCUAGUAGGUGGGGUAACGGCUCACCUAGGCGACGAUCCCUAGGGGGUCUGAGAGGAUGACCGGCCAGACGGGAACUGAGACACGGGCCAGACUCCUACGGGAGGCAGCAGUGGGGAAUAUUGCACAAUGGGCGCAAGCCUGAUGCAGCCAUGCCGGGUGUAUGAAGAAGGCCUUCGGGUUGUAAAGUACUUUCAGCGGGGAGGAAGGUGUUGAGGUUAAUAACCUCAGCAAUUGACGUUACCCGCAGAAGAAGCACCGGCUAACUCCGUGCCAGCCGCCGCGGUAA